AGGCAGUGUCUUGUUAGCUGGUUG
Molecule: microRNA, 24 nt
Filed under: Hippoglossus hippoglossus (Atlantic halibut)
Lineage: Eukaryota; Metazoa; Chordata; Actinopteri; Pleuronectiformes; Pleuronectidae
Description: hhi-miR-449
Gene: hhi-miR-449
Source: miRBase by way of RNAcentral